AGAGUUUGAUCAUGGCUCAGAUUGAACGCUGGCGGCAGGCCUAACACAUGCAAGUCGAGCGGUAGAAGGAAGCUUGCUUCCUUUGAGAGCGGCGGACGGGUGAGUAAUGCCUAGGAAUCUGCCUGGUAGUGGGGGAUAACGUUCGGAAACGGACGCUAAUACCGCAUACGUCCUACGGGAGAAAGCAGGGGACCUUCGGGCCUUGCGCUAUCAGAUGAGCCUAGGUCGGAUUAGCUUGUUGGUGAGGUAAUGGCUCACCAAGGCAACGAUCCGUAACUGGUCUGAGAGGAUGAUCAGUCACACUGGAACUGAGACACGGUCCAGACUCCUACGGGAGGCAGCAGUGGGGAAUAUUGGACAAUGGGGGAAACCCUGAUCCAGCCAUGCCGCGUGUGUGAAGAAGGUCUUAGGAUUGUAAAGCACUUUAAGUUGGGAGGAAGGGUUAUAGCCUAAUACGCUGUAACUUUGACGUUACCGACAGAAUAAGCACCGGCUAACUCUGUGCCAGCAGCCGCGGUAAUACAGAGGGUGCAAGCGUUAAUCGGAAUUACUGGGCGUAAAGCGCGCGUAGGUGGCAAAGUAAGAUGGGUGUGANAUCCCCGGGCUCAACCUGGGAACUGCAUCCAUAACUGCUUCGCUAGAGUACGGUAGAGGGUAGUGGAAUUUCCUGUGUAGCGGUGAAAUGCGUAGAUAUAGGAAGGGACACCAGUGGCGAAGGCGACUACCUGGACUGAUACUGACACUGAGGUGCGAAAGCGUGGGGAGCAAACAGGAUAGAUACCCUGGUAGUCCACGCGUAAACGAUGUCAACUAGGCCGUUGGAACCUUGAGUUCUUAGGGGCGCAACUAACCCACUAAAGUUGACCCCCUGGGGAAUACGGGCCCAAGAUUAAAACUCAAAUGAAAUUGACGGGGGGCCCCCCCAAAACGGGGGAAACAUGGGGUUUAAUUCCAAACAAACCCGAAAAACCCUUACCUGGCCCUGAAAUGGCGUAAAAAUUUCCCCAAAAUGAAUUGGGGUCCCUUCGGGAAAUCCAGAAACCGAGGUCUGU
RNAcentral lists this ribosomal RNA (1052 nucleotides) under metagenome. RNAcentral's name for it is "bacterial SSU rRNA". It matches the Rfam family "Bacterial small subunit ribosomal RNA", at positions 8 to 1052 of the family's 1533-position model. The record is from RNAcentral.